GUUUUCUCUUUGGCAGCACAUAAAUUAAAAUUGGAAUGAUACAGAGAAGAUUAGCAUGGCCCCUGCACAAGGAUGAUGUGCAAAUUCAUAAAGUGUUCCAUAUUUUU
RNAcentral lists this small nuclear RNA (107 nucleotides) under Sus scrofa (pig). The record is from RNAcentral. Lineage: Eukaryota; Metazoa; Chordata; Mammalia; Artiodactyla; Suidae.